Molecule: ribosomal RNA, 486 nt
Filed under: uncultured bacterium
Lineage: Bacteria
Description: partial 16S ribosomal RNA
Rfam family: Bacterial small subunit ribosomal RNA
Source: RNAcentral
AUUGAACGCUGGCGGCAUGCCUUACACAUGCAAGUCGAACGGCAGCACGGGUGCUUGCUCCUGGUGGCGAGUGGCGAACGGGUGAGUAAUACAUCGGAACAUGUCCUGUCGUGGGGGAUAGCCCGGCGAAAGCCGGAUUAAUACCGCAUACGAUUUCCGGAUGAAAGCGGGGGACCUUCGGGCCUCGCGCUAUCGGGUUGGCCGAUGGCGGAUUAGCUAGUUGGUGGGGUAAAGGCCUACCAAGGCGACGAUCAGUAGCUGGUCUGAGAGGACGACCAGCCACACUGGGACUGAGACAAGGCCCAGACUCCUACGGGAGGCAGCAGUGGGGAAUUUUGGACAAUGGGCGAAAGCCUGAUCCAGCAAUGCCGCGUGUGUGAAGAAGGCCUUCGGGUUGUAAAGCACUUUUGUCCGGAAAGAAAUCCUUGGCCCUAAUACGGUCGGGGGAUGACGGUACCGGAAGAAUAAGCACCGGCUAACUACGUG